This 122-nucleotide unclassified non-coding RNA is filed under the name uncultured Ascomycota. RNAcentral describes it as "sequence contains ITS1". The record is from RNAcentral. Lineage: Eukaryota; Fungi; Ascomycota.
GCGAGUUCAGCUCUCUAAAACCAUUGUGAACGCACCGUCAAUCGUUGCUUCGGCGGGAGACCCCGCCGACAGAACGCAAACUCUGUAAUUAUUGCAUAUCUGAGUAUACUUUUAAUAAGUUA